GACGAACGCUGGCGGCGUGCUUAACACAUGCAAGUCGAACGAUGAUGCCCAGCUUGCUGGGUGGAUUAGUGGCGAACGGGUGAGUAACACGUGAGUAACCUGCCCCUGACUCUGGGAUAAGCGUUGGAAACGACGUCUAAUACUGGAUAUGAUCGCCGGCCGCAUGGUCUGGUGGUGGAAAGAUUUUUUGGUUGGGGAUGGACUCGCGGCCUAUCAGCUUGUUGGUGAGGUAAUGGCUCACCAAGGCGACGACGGGUAGCCGGCCUGAGAGGGGGACCGGCAACACUGGGGCUGAGACACGGCCCAGACUGCUACGGGAGGCAGCAGUGGGGAAUAUUGCAUAAUGGGCGAAAGCCUGAUGCAGAAACGCCGCUGGAGGGAUGACGGCCUUCGGGUUGUAAACCUCUUUUAGUAGGGAAGAAGCGAAAGCGACGGUACCUGCAGAAAAAGCACCGGCUAACUACGUGCCAGCAGCCGCCGUAA
This 483-nucleotide ribosomal RNA is filed under the name uncultured bacterium. Its description in RNAcentral is "partial 16S ribosomal RNA". It matches the Rfam family "Bacterial small subunit ribosomal RNA", at positions 28 to 523 of the family's 1533-position model. The record is from RNAcentral.